This 497-nucleotide ribosomal RNA is filed under the name uncultured bacterium. RNAcentral's name for it is "partial 16S ribosomal RNA". It matches the Rfam family "Bacterial small subunit ribosomal RNA", at positions 28 to 507 of the family's 1533-position model. The record is from RNAcentral.
GAUGAACGCUGGCGGCGUGCCUAAUACAUGCAAGUCGAGCGAACAGACGAGGACUUUGCUCCUUUGACGUUAUCGGCGGAGGGGAGAGUCACAUGUGGGUAACCUACCUAUACGACGGGGAUAACUUCGGGAAACCAGAGCUUAUACCGGAUCAUAUUUCGAACCGCGAUGUUCGAUAGUGAAAGAUGACUCUUCUAUUACCUAAUGAUCGACCUGCGUAUUAUUAACUAGUUGGUAGGGUAACGGAUUACCAAGGCAACGAUACGUAGACGACCUAGGAGGGUGUUCGGCCACCUUGGAACUGAGACACGGUCCAGACUCCUAGGGGGGGCGCCGGCAGGGAAUCUUCCGCAAGGGGGGAAGGCCUAACGGAGCACCGCCGGGUGAGGAAUGAGGGUCUCCGGAUCUUAAAAUUCUGUUAUUAGGGAAGAAGAAACGUGUAAUUAACUGUGCACGUCUUGACGGUACCUUAUCAGAAAGCCACGGCUAACUACGUG